ACCUGACUGCUAUCGGAUUGAUACUAAGCCAUGCGAGUCAUUGUAGCAAUACAAGGCAUACGGCUCAGUAACGCGUAGUCAACCUAACCUAUGGACGGGAAUAACCUCGGGAAACUGAGAAUAAUGCCCGAUAGAACAUUAUGCCUGGAAUGGUUUAUGUUCCAAAUGAUUUAUCGCCAUAGGAUGGGACUGCGGCCUAUCAGUUUGUUGGUGAGGUAAUGGCCCACCAAGACUAUUGCAGGUACGGGCUCUGAGAGGAGUAGCCCGGAGAUGGGUACUGAGACACGGACCCAGGCCCUAUGGGGCGCAGCAGGCGAGAAAACUUUGCAAUGUGCGAAAGCACGACAAGGUUAAUCCGAGUGAUUUCUGCUAAAGAGAUCUUUUGUUAGUUCUAGAAACACUAACGAAUAAGGGGUGGGCAAGUUCUGGUGUCAGCCGCCGCGGUAAAACCAGCACCUCAAGUGGUCAGGAUGAUUAUUGGGCCUAAAGCAUCCGUAGCCGGCUCUGUAAGUUUUCGGUUAAAUCUGUACGCUCAACGUACAGGCUGCCGGGAAUACUGCAGAACUAGGGAGUGGGAGAGGUAGACGGUACUCGGUAGGAAGUGGUAAAAUGCUUUGAUCUAUCGAUGACCACCUGUGGCGAAGGCGGUCUACCAGAACACGUCCGACGGUGAGGGAUGAAAGCUGGGGGAGCAAACCGGAUUAGAUACCCGGGUAGUCCCAGCUGUAAACUAUGCAAACUCAGUGAUGCAUUGGCUUGUGGCCAAUGCAGUGCUGCAGGGAAGCCGUUAAGUUUGCCGCCUGGGAAGUACGUACGCAAGUAUGAAACUUAAAGGAAUUGGCGGGGGAGCACCACAAGGGGUGAAGCCUGCGGUUC
This 876-nucleotide ribosomal RNA is filed under the name uncultured crenarchaeote. RNAcentral's name for it is "bacterial SSU rRNA". It matches the Rfam family "Archaeal small subunit ribosomal RNA", at positions 21 to 903 of the family's 1478-position model. Lineage: Archaea; Thermoproteati; Thermoproteota. The record is from RNAcentral.